AUCUUCAUUUUCAGUUGGGAAGAGACCAUGUAGUGAGGGGGGAAAAAAAUGAACACAAAUAGAGAAAUCAUCAAUGGACUGAAUGAUAAGAAUUGAUCAAAAUAAUCCAAAACCCCAUGACAUGCAGUCUCAGAAGCCUUCCCGUGGGCUGGAAGCUCACAAAGAAGCUUAAAUUUUAGAAGAGCCGUCUUUAGAAGUCGAUAUUGCAUUCAGAAAACAACCAACCAACCGAAAAGCUGGUGGUGGGGUGUGGGACCAGAUGUAUGCAUGUGGGGGAAAUUUUGUUAUUCUCACACAGCGUACAGUGGUCUUAGUCCUCGGUUCUACUGCUCUGUGCCUCUCCCCCAUCUUCCCUACAUCCUGUUGCUCUCCAUCACACGGGCUAAACACUUCUGUGACCUCGCAGUCCUUUAGAAAUAGACAUUUUACUGCACCACCCACCUGCUCCCAAACUGGAAGAAAAAAUAUUCAGUACGAUGCAUUCAGUAGAUUACUGAGCUUUUCCAGGAUUAUACUGUCAUCAUGGUUUGUAAGACAACUGUUAUCAAGAGCUAGAUGUAUUAUCCUAUGAAGAAAAUAGUUACCUUUCAGAAAGCCAGUUCUGUUCAAUAUGCCUUCACAGAGAUAUGAGUACUAACUAGUUCUAACACUUGUGACCUUAACUUUCUACUUCACUGGGAACGCUGCUAUUUCAAGGCUGAAAGGGGAAUCUACAAAAACUCACUUGACGUUGAAGAACCUUUAACCGAGUAUUCUUAAAGCCCUAAGAAUCUUCGUGAACAUAAGAUUCUUUAUAUAUUAAUCACAGAAUACCUCAUACACAGAACUAUCCGUGUUGGAUCUAUCAGCUUCAAGGGAGGAAAGAAUGGCCAUUCCACCCAGCCUGAGAAGGACAGGCUUACAUCUUUGAAGUCUCCUUUGGUCACUUCCUCUUCCACAAUAUAAUCAAUGUCUUGAAUUUUGACUACAUCUUUCCUUUACUUUGCACUAUACUUUUCCCGACAGUGAAUGUGGACACGUCCCUCAGUAAGCUCUCAGAAAGGAUAAAGGUACCUUCCGGAUUCCUAUUGUCAGUGGAGAGACCACAGGACAUUUGGACAUAAAUUAAAGAGCUGGAAACAUGUUGUGGACUGAAAACCUCAAGGAAUGAUGAGGAAACGAUGAGGGUAAGAGGCAGAAGUUCUGAGUUCCAGUCCUGCCUCAGUGGAGUUUCUUCUCGCCUCACUCUGACCUCAGAUAUUUGCACUUCUAUGGCUCCACAUUUUCACCCUUGAUGAUUUCAGCCACUCUGAGGUUUCAACUAUAAUGUCUAUAAAAUGUUAAG
This is a long non-coding RNA of Mustela lutreola (European mink), 1324 nucleotides long. RefSeq lists it as uncharacterized. The transcript is spliced from 3 exons. NCBI's taxonomy places the organism in Eukaryota, Metazoa, Chordata, Mammalia, Carnivora, Mustelidae. The record is from RefSeq and is a predicted model, not a curated record.